This 482-nucleotide ribosomal RNA is filed under the name uncultured bacterium. RNAcentral's name for it is "partial 16S ribosomal RNA". It matches the Rfam family "Bacterial small subunit ribosomal RNA", at positions 30 to 507 of the family's 1533-position model. The record is from RNAcentral.
AUUGAACGCUGGCGGCAUGCCUUACACAUGCAAGUCGAACGGUAACAGGUCUUCGGAUGCUGACGAGUGGCGCACGGGUGCGUAAUACAUCGGAACGUGCCCGAUCGUGGGGGAUAACGAGGCGAAAGCUUUGCUAAUACCGCAUACGAUCUACGGAUGAAAGCGGGGGAUCUUCGGACCUCGCGCGGACGGAGCGGCCGAUGGCAGAUUAGGUAGUUGGUGGGAUAAAAGCUUACCAAGCCGACGAUCUGUAGCUGGUCUGAGAGGAUGAUCAGCCACACUGGGACUGAGACACGGCCCAGACUCCUACGGGAGGCAGCAGUGGGGAAUUUUGGACAAUAGGCGAAAGCCUGAUCCAGCCAUGCCGCGUGCAGGAUGAAGGCCUUCGGGUUGUAAACUGCUUUUGUACGGAACGAAAAGCCUCUUUCUAAUAAAGAGGGGUCAUGACGGUACCGUAAGAAUAAGCACCGGCUAACUACGUG